CUAACCCUAGGUUUGGAUGGUUUUUGGCCUGAAGAGAUUGAGGCUGAAAAGCAAAAGGGAAUGCGAAGGCCUGGACCCAGACAGGGCAGACCAAACGCAGCCGACCCCGCGACUGUAGAACAGCGAGGGUUUUCCAUCCGGCUUGAAAAAGCCUUGGCAUGACAGGCCGCGUGGUGCGGACGGUGCGGGGCUCGACAGGCCGGAAAAGCCACUGAAGUGGUGAAACGAUCUGCCGGGGUUGGACGCCUCUUUAUCUACGAAUCGUCCGCCUUUUCGUUUUCGCCAAGACCUUCGGGAAGGUGAGGGAAAUCCGCAAGCCGGCCAGAUCAAGGCCGGCUCGACGCUGUGAGCCAGGAGACCUGCCGUCCGUGACGGGCGAAA
RNAcentral lists this non-coding RNA (381 nucleotides) under Gillisella taibaishanensis. Lineage: Bacteria; Pseudomonadati; Pseudomonadota; Alphaproteobacteria; Hyphomicrobiales; Rhizobiaceae. The record is from RNAcentral.